GAGAGGUGUCUCUUCACAGAUCUUCAAAUGUCUAGAAGAAAAGCGGAGGUGAGACACCUCAGUGGAUGGGUCACUGUGACAAUGAGGUUGCUACAAACAGACACUGUGACUCUGCUUCUCUCAGCGACCGUCAAAGGCUACGCUGUGUGCAAAUCUGAGUGCACAACAGGAAUCCACAGGAGCCCUGGGGGCACAGAAAGGUACCCUGCUUCAAUUCUAACUGAGACUUAUAAUUGAUUUUAUAAACUGGUUUUCUUUUAGGAGGCUCUUUUUACAACAAGAUCACAGUUUGGAAUGUACAGUAAUAACAUCACAAAAGAUGGAAUUGUGGUCAAUAGGUCUGAGGGGGGGAAAAAACACUGACAGAUAGAAGGCUCCUCAAGUGCAUGGUUUGGGUUACCAGUAACCAGCAGAGAAAAUGACUUUUUAACACAUAGGGUUUGAGACAACCUCACAGGAAGAGAUGAUAUCAAAACCCAUGGAAAUCACACCUAGAUUAGUUUAGAGACUUGAAUGUGUUACCAGAAAGUCCUCUUAAGAUUCCACUUACCCUUUUUCUACUAAACCUCCUAUCUGUAUAUCCCCUAACAGAAAGGAGUCUUCUAGAUAUUUGUUUGCACAACUUUCUAGUUAGGCUUGUUGAUAAUUAAUCUGGAUAAAUCCAUGUGCAGAAACUUCUCAUUAUCAUUCUUUCAAAGCGUGACACAGGACCUUCAAGAGAUG
Molecule: long non-coding RNA, 723 nt
Filed under: Manacus vitellinus (golden-collared manakin)
Lineage: Eukaryota; Metazoa; Chordata; Aves; Passeriformes; Pipridae
Description: lncRNA (ENSMVIG00005000901.1)
Source: RNAcentral